CUACCAGUCGCCAAUGGCUGACACGCGUUCAGGACAUUGUCCUGGCCCUGCAAGAGCGGAUUUCGGCUUCCCCACUUUGGAAUCAGGAAAACUAUUCGGUUCAGGUCAAUCUCCCCAUGAAUCAUCAUUGCGUGGCAUGGUGGAUUGAGAUCUUCUACCACCCUUGUGGUGCACCUUCAUAUAUGAAGGCAAGUGUUCGUUCCUGGGCUUGCCCACUGUCAACUAGACGAUGCCGGCCCAGCAGAUUAUUGAAGAUGCCCAACAUAAGCACCGUGGCAGACUAUGUGUUGAAAAAAGUUGGGUCUAAUUUAUCGUUGGGUGAAUUGGUUUGGUGAAUGGAGAAUGGACCAAUGAAUGAAGACCAGCUAUAUUGAGUUUAUUGUUCUUUUAAAUAUUUAACAGUAAAUAUAAAAGAACUUGGAUUGACUGACCGAUGUACGAGUUUAACGCAAACCUGUUUUGGCAACAGUCUUUGACGUUCUUUUGUCCGGAAAUCAGCAGUUCGACAGUUGUUGAAGAUUUCCUGGAUAUACUUGAGGAAAGCUUGCUGAAACCAUUUUCUCGUCCCGCCAUUUUGAGGGCUGGGUAAAGAGAAAGGAAUUGGAGUUGCUCAUUUCAGUGGCCAUUUUGUUUAACAAGGUGUAGUAGCAACUUGCGUGCUUUGUACACAGAACUGACAUGCCUUUUAUCGGAAUCCUGGAAAUUGAUUACGGAUUUACAGCUAACAAGUUAAUCGACUACAUUAUGGAGAAAAUGGAAUCGUUCUGAACUGCAAGUUGUCGAUACCUAUAGGGGAAUUCUUAAAGGUUUCCAGAUGUACUGGCAAGAAUCGGUAUCAAAUUAUGGUAGUUGAAUACUCGCACACAGGUUCAACAUGGAAGAAAUGUGCAAGUGUUGAUGUUGCAGUGGACAAACGGGUGGUGUUAAACAAAUGGAUCUGAAAGUUACACAUAAGCCACGAGGAAAUUCAAACUUAACAGCCAUGAAGAUGAUGGUUCAAGUAAACCUGUUGAACUGAAGGUGGUAGGUGAAAAAAAGGUAAUAUUUAUUGUUCCAUUUCCAUACUGUUGUCUAAAAAAAAAAAAAUUUUACAG
Molecule: long non-coding RNA, 1094 nt
Organism: Daphnia carinata
Lineage: Eukaryota; Metazoa; Arthropoda; Branchiopoda; Diplostraca; Daphniidae
Exons: 9
Source: RefSeq, a predicted model, not a curated record